GUCUCGAUAGUGUAAUGGAUAAGCACAGCAAUCCAGAUAUCUGUAGAUGAGGGUUCGAAUCCCGCCUGAGAUU
This 73-nucleotide transfer RNA is filed under the name Dictyocaulus viviparus (bovine lungworm). It matches the Rfam family "tRNA". From Rfam's summary of the family: Transfer RNA (tRNA) molecules are approximately 80 nucleotides in length. Their secondary structure includes four short double-helical elements and three loops (D, anti-codon, and T loops). Further hydrogen bonds mediate the characteristic L-shaped molecular structure. tRNAs have two regions of fundamental functional importance: the anti-codon, which is responsible for specific mRNA codon recognition, and the 3' end, to which the tRNAs corresponding amino acid is attached (by aminoacyl-tRNA synthetases). tRNAs cope with the degeneracy of the genetic code in two manners: having more than one tRNA (with a specific anti-codon) for a particular amino acid; and 'wobble' base-pairing, i.e. permitting non-standard base-pairing at the 3rd anti-codon position. The record is from Rfam by way of RNAcentral. Lineage: Eukaryota; Metazoa; Nematoda; Chromadorea; Rhabditida; Metastrongylidae.